GGAGGGCCCAGGAUGUGGACUUGAAACUCUGAGAUUGAAGAACUGUGGUUUGUCAAAGUUCAGCUGUGAUUUUCUGGCAGCAGCACUGAAAUCUAACCCCUCCCAUCUGAGAGAGCUGGACCUGAGUCUGAAUAAACUGGAGUAUCCAGAUGUGAAGCGGCUGUUUGCUCUUAAGGAAAGUCCAGAUUGCACACUGGAGACUCUGAGAUGGUGGCCAUGAUUGUAAACAGGAAGGUGUGUGUGCUGAAAGAGGAGGAGUUGUGUCCUGAUGAUCCAGAGAGGUUGAAGCAGCAGCAGCUUGUGUGUAGAGACGCUCUGACUGGG
Long non-coding RNA from Oreochromis niloticus (Nile tilapia), 324 nucleotides. RefSeq lists it as uncharacterized. Lineage: Eukaryota; Metazoa; Chordata; Actinopteri; Cichliformes; Cichlidae. The transcript has 3 exons. The record is from RefSeq and is a predicted model, not a curated record.